Non-coding RNA from Camellia sinensis, 712 nucleotides. Lineage: Eukaryota; Viridiplantae; Streptophyta; Magnoliopsida; Ericales; Theaceae. The record is from RefSeq and is a predicted model, not a curated record.
CUGUUUCCACCUCGAAAAAGUUGGAAUUUAAAGUUUUCUAUUUCACAUAAAAUUGUAACCCUUUGAAUUAGAUUUCCAGCAAUGCCCGAUUCGCCUCAAUCUUUUGACCCCCAAAGCUCCUCUUUGCCUAUAAAUACUCCCCAUCUCCUCCCUUUUCAAAGGGUUGAACUUUUUUAGCAAAAUUGUGAGUUUCUUUGAGUGAAAUUCCUUGCCUCCUCUGCUCUCAUACCCUGGGCUCCGUAAAUACACCCUCCCACAGCAACUCUAACAACUAAAAAAUCAUCUAAAGCUUGAAGAACUUGAACAUAACAAGAACCUAAGCCUGAGGGAAGCAAUCAAGCAAGUUUUACAUAUUUUAUUCCCGUUUUCUUCAGUUAUUGCAAACCAGCAACUAUUUGAUGGACACAAUGGGCCUGCGGCUGCCAUAUACUCUAAGGAAAAUCUCCUAAAUAAUGUUUUGGCAUGUAUUCCUUCGAACCUUCACAGAGAUGAGUGGAUUGCAGCACUGCCAAGGGCUUUGGUUGUGGGGUUUGUAAAAACUGAUAAAGAUUUUCAAGAGAGAGCACAAACUUCAGGAACAACCGUCACCUUUAUGAUUAUUGAAGGAUGGUUCAUAACUGUAGCAUCUGUUGGUGAUUCUCGUUGUGUACUUGAAUCGGCUGAUGGUGAAAUAUAUUAUCUGUCUGCAGAUCGUAGGCUUGAAUGAAGUGUA